UACUCCUACGGGAGGCAGCAUUGGGUAAUAUUGCGCAAUGGGCGCAAGCCUGAUGCAGCCAUGCCGCGUGUAUGAAGAAGGCCUUCGGGUUGUAAAGUACUUCAGCGGGGAGGGUGCUGAUGUGGUUAAUAAGAACAUCAAUUGACGUAUCC
Molecule: ribosomal RNA, 152 nt
Filed under: uncultured Klebsiella sp.
Lineage: Bacteria; Pseudomonadati; Pseudomonadota; Gammaproteobacteria; Enterobacterales; Enterobacteriaceae
Description: partial 16S ribosomal RNA
Rfam family: Bacterial small subunit ribosomal RNA
Source: RNAcentral